AGAGGAGGAAGUAGGGCCAGGCACCUCCAUUCCCUGAGGGAUGAUUUCGGGGCAGAAGCUCAUCUCUAGAAGGGUUUGUAACCCAAAAGCAGGGUGGUAAGUUAAGAGCCGCUCACACAUUCAAGGAGUUCACAGGCACAGCGUCUAGUGCACUUCCUCUUGUAAGCAUUAGGGCUUGGAGGUUUGAAACAGACGCUGCUCCGUGGCCCCGUGGGAUGGCCACACGACCCACCUCCUUCACGAGCUCGCUCUGGGCUUUGUCUACUUUUAGGCUGCAGUUCGGGGUGACGUUUUGACUUUUCAGAUCUUAGUAAAGAGUACAAUGAAUUCACAGCUGGGCUGCAGGAGUCUCUAUGCAUGACAACCCCCAGAAGCUGGCUGCAGCAGAGAGGGUGACACAAGAACUGAGCCUCAGAGAGGCUGUCCAAGGGGAUGUCCCUUGGUUCCUGGAGACAGCCUGGGCAGAACGACACCAAGAAGGAAAGCCUGUCCUCUGUGACCAACACAGAGCCUGGAGGAGGACACUGGACAAGUGAAAUGAGCCAGAGACAGAAAGCAAAUACUGCGUGACCUCCUUCACUUGUGGAAUGUAAGGAGUUGAACUCAGAGUAGAGAGCAAAUGGUGGUUACCAGAGGCUACGGAGGAGCUGUUAAAGGGAAAGGAGUUUCAGGUCAAGAGGAGUAGCUUUAGAAGAUCUAUUGCACAGCAUGGAGGCUAGGGUUAAAAAUAAUAUGUAAAUUUCAGAAUUGCCAAGAGAGACUCAAACAUUCUUAGCCCAGGAACUUGGCAUGUGAACUGAUGGUUAUGUUAAUUAGGUUGAUUCAAUCAUGUCAAAGCGUUAUAUUGUGGCACUUUUCUAUAAUUAAAAGGAAAUGAGAAUCCAUUUGACUGUAAAUGGUCACCUAGGUCUCCACAAUAUCUUAGGAGACCCUAACUACAGCCUGCACAUUGGGCAUUAUGAGGUUAGAACAUGGCUGGCUUCUUUCCAUCCUAUUCCCAUUUCUUCUUCAGUUCAAUCAUGCAGCGCUGCAUUAUUCUCCUGCAUCCUGUCUUCCCAAGCACCUCUUGAAGUUUGCCCUUGAUGCUACAUAAUUCGUUUUUAUCCUUGAAAUGGAGCCUGCCCGGUGGCUGCAGUCUUCUCAGCCCUGAGCUUGUUGGCCAGCACAUGGCAGCAGUUACUCCUGCAUGCAACAUGGUGCUGUGGUUCAGGAGGAGAUGGGACAGGAGGAGUCAAGGGCAGGAGGCAGAGCAAAGGCAGAAAGAGAAAGCCAGAGAACGGGCUGCAGGGCCCUUCUGAACUGUGCUGUCAUGAAGCACGCACUGAUGGAGGGAGGUGUGAAUGAAACUCAGAGUCUGAUGAUGGGACUUGCUCAAAGACAAGACGUAGACAUGACUUUUGCAGAGCAGGGCAUGUACCCUGAACCCAGAAUAUUGCUAGAGGAGCUGGCAGAGUUAGGGGCAGUCAGGGGGUGGUUCAAUCAAGGAUACUCUCUGGCUUAAUUUCUUUUUGAUGUUUGUUGCAGGUUUUGCUUCAAAUAAUCACAAGGAAUUGAGAAAAGUCUUAGAAUGUUUUUUUUCAUGCAAUUUCUAAAAUGUUAUUGGUUUUAAAAAGUUGAAAGGAAAGGGUUUCCCUCUUCCUAUUGGAUUUUUCCAAUUCUAGGAGCCAUUGUUUUCUGUUCACCUUAAAAUCAUUUUCAAUUUUUUUGUGUAUUUGGCAAAAAUGGAUGAUCAGUACACUAAUUUUAUAUGCAGGAAUGGUUAGGAAAUUACUGUGAUAAGGGACAUUGGAUAUGCAUGUUUCUCCUGUCUCAUAUAAAAGAGCCUCCAGAUUGCCCUAUUUUAAAAAUAUCAUCUUGUUCAACCUCUGCUAUUGGAAUUGUUAAUAUUUACAACAUUUAUCAGUUGUUUGUACCCAUUUAUUAGUUGUUUGUAAAUAGUGUUAAUAUUACAAAAAGAAACAUUCGUGGAGUGGGGUAUAUAGAAGAUGUCUGGAUGCUGGAGAAUGUAGGGUAUGAGCUCAUUCUGUUUAUUCAUCAUGAUUUCUCAAGGGAGGAAAUAUAUUCCCUUCUCACUUGCAAGGUCUCCCAGGUGGAAGGCAAUUGUGAAGCCAGUCUGCUUGCCCUUUCAAUCAAGUUCUUGGUUUUGCUGUGAAGCUGUGUAAAUCUGGGAGUCCCUAGGACCACUUUGGAGGGAUGUACAAGAAAGAAUAAAGUGAAG
Molecule: long non-coding RNA, 2218 nt
Organism: Heterocephalus glaber (naked mole-rat)
Lineage: Eukaryota; Metazoa; Chordata; Mammalia; Rodentia; Bathyergidae
Source: Ensembl